This is a small nucleolar RNA of Callithrix jacchus (white-tufted-ear marmoset), 80 nucleotides long. NCBI's taxonomy places the organism in Eukaryota, Metazoa, Chordata, Mammalia, Primates, Cebidae. The record is from Ensembl.
UCCAUGAGAGGCCACCACUGCCACGCCGCAGGCUCCGCAGCACACGGUGGGGAAGCCAGCCUUGGAGAGCCGAGCCGGGA